GUUGGCGGCGUGGAUUAGGCAUGCAAGUCGAGCGUGAAAGCGACCUUCGGGUCGUGAGCUAAAGACGGCGGACGGGCUGAGCUAACACGU
RNAcentral lists this ribosomal RNA (90 nucleotides) under uncultured bacterium. RNAcentral describes it as "partial 16S ribosomal RNA". The record is from RNAcentral.